Molecule: ribosomal RNA, 253 nt
Filed under: uncultured bacterium
Lineage: Bacteria
Description: partial 16S ribosomal RNA
Rfam family: Bacterial small subunit ribosomal RNA
Source: RNAcentral
GACAUAGGUCGCAAACGUUAUCCGGAAUUAUUGGGCGUAAAGCGCUCGCAGGUGGUUCGAUGCGUCGUGCGUGAAAGACCCCGGCUCAACUGGGGAGGGUCGUGCGAUACGGUCGGACUGGAGGCCAGUAGGGGGAUGCGGAAUUCCGGGUGUAGUGGUGGAAUGCGUAGAGAUCCGGAGGAACACCAGCGGCGAAGGCGGCAUCCUGGACUGGUCCUGACACUCAUGAGCGAAAGCGUGGGGAGCGAUCCGG